AUGGCGUCGAGGGCUGUGAUGGUGGCGGUGCUGGUCGCCGCGGUGGCGGCGACGUGCGCGCGGGCGCAGCUGCACGAGAAGUUCUACGGCGAGUCGUGCCCCAGCGUGGAGGACGUCGUGAGGAAGGAGAUGGUGAGGGCGCUGUCACUGGCGCCCAGCCUCGCCGGGCCGCUCCUCCGGAUGCACUUCCACGACUGCUUCGUCAGGGGGUGCGACGGCUCGGUUCUGCUGGACUCGGCCAACAAGACGGCGGAGAAGGACGCGAAGCCGAACCAGACGCUCCGUGGCUUCAACUUCGUCGAGAAGGUGAAGGCCGCCGUGGAGAAGGCCUGCCCUGACACCGUCUCCUGCGCCGACAUACUCGCCCUCAUGGCCAGGGACGCAGUCUGGCUGGUGAGUACCACUACAAUACUAAGCAAAUUUGCAAAUGCCACGAGUCCGUACGUGUGGAAGCUGGAUUCUCAAUGCUGCUCGAUCAUGGUUUUUUUCCAGAGCAAGGGCCCAUUCUGGGAAGUUCCUUUGGGCCGGCGUGACGGCAGCGUGUCCAUCUCCAACGAGACCAACCAGCUGCCACCCCCGACCGCCAACUUCACCGUGCUCACCCAGCUCUUCGCCGCCAAGAACCUCGACUCCAAGGACCUCGUCGUCCUCUCCGCCGGGCACACCAUCGGGACGUCGCACUGCUUCUCCUUCUCCGACCGUCUCUACAACUUCACCGGCAGGGUGAACCCCACCGACAUUGACCAUACACUGGAACCGCAGUACAUGGCGAAGCUGAGGAACAAGUGCACCAGCCUCAACGACAACACCACGCUCGUGGAGAUGGACCCUGGGAGCUUCAGGACCUUCGACCUCGCCUACUUCAAGAACGUCGUCAAGCGGAGGGGCCUCUUCCACUCCGACGGCGCGCUGCUCACCAACGCCUUCACCCGCGCCUACGUCGAGCGCCAUGCCGGCGGCGGCUACAAGGAGGAGUUCUUCGCCGACUUCGCCGCCUCCAUGAUCAAGAUGGGCAACGCCGACGUGCUCACUGGGAGCCAGGGCGAGAUCAGGAAGAAGUGCAACGUACCCAAUCAUUAA
RNAcentral lists this ribosomal RNA (1080 nucleotides) under Triticum aestivum (bread wheat). RNAcentral describes it as "partial small subunit ribosomal RNA". Lineage: Eukaryota; Viridiplantae; Streptophyta; Magnoliopsida; Poales; Poaceae. The record is from RNAcentral.